AGUCGAGGGGUAUGCUUCUUCGGAAGCAGAGACCGGCGCACGGGUGCGUAACGCGUAUGCAAUCUACCUUUUACAGAGGGAUAGCCCAGAGAAAUUUGGAUUAAUACCUCAUAGCAUAGCAGUCUCGCAUGAGAUCACUAUUAAAGUCACAACGGUAAAAGAUGAGCAUGCGUCCCAUUAGCUAGUUGGUAAGGUAACGGCUUACCAAGGCUACGAUGGGUAGGGGUCCUGAGAGGGAGAUCCCCCACACUGGUACUGAGACACGGACCAGACUCCUACGGGAGGCAGCAGUGAGGAAUAUUGGACAAUGGGCGCAAGCCUGAUCCAGCCAUGCCGCGUGCAGGAUGACGGUCCUAUGGAUUGUAAACUGCUUUUAUACGAGAAGAAACACUGCUUCGUGAAGCAGCUUGACGGUAUCGUAAGAAUAAGGAUCGGCUAACUCCGUGCCAGCAGCCGCGGUAAUACGGAGGAUCCAAGCGUUAUCCGGAAUCAUUGGGUUUAAAGGGUCCGUAGGCGGUUUAAUAAGUCAGUGGUGAAAGCCCAUCGCUCAACGGUGGAACGGCCAUUGAUACUGUUAAACUUGAAUUAUUAGGAAGUAACUAGAAUAUGUAGUGUAGCGGUGAAAUGCUUAGAGAUUACAUGGAAUACCAAUUGCGAAGGCAGGUUACUACUAAUGGAUUGACGCUGAUGGACGAAAGCGUGGGUAGCGAACAGGAUUAGAUACCCUGGUAGUCCACGCCGUAAACGAUGGAUACUAGCUGUUGGAAGCAAUUUCAGUGGCUAAGCGAAAGUGAUAAGUAUCCCACCUGGGGAGUACGUUCGC
Molecule: ribosomal RNA, 823 nt
Filed under: Flavobacterium sp. CS31
Lineage: Bacteria; Pseudomonadati; Bacteroidota; Flavobacteriia; Flavobacteriales; Flavobacteriaceae
Description: bacterial SSU rRNA
Rfam family: Bacterial small subunit ribosomal RNA
Source: RNAcentral